Molecule: ribosomal RNA, 311 nt
Filed under: uncultured Legionella sp.
Lineage: Bacteria; Pseudomonadati; Pseudomonadota; Gammaproteobacteria; Legionellales; Legionellaceae
Description: bacterial SSU rRNA
Rfam family: Bacterial small subunit ribosomal RNA
Source: RNAcentral
GCUAACUCCGUGCCAGCAGCCGCGGUAAUACGGAGGGUGCGAGCGUUAAUCGGAAUUACUGGGCGUAAAGGGUGCGUAGGCGGUUAAUUAAGUUAUCUGUGAAAUACCUGGGCUUAACCUAGGCWRGWCAGAUAAAACUGGUUGACUUGAGUAAAGGAGAGGAUAGUGGAAUUUCCGGUGUAGCGGUGAAAUGCGUAGAGAUCGGAAGGAACACCGGUGGCGAAGGCGGCUAUCUGGCCUUAUACUGACGCUGAGGCACGAAAGCGUGGGGAGCAAACAGGAUUAGAUACCCUGGUAGUCCACGCUGUAAA